CCUACGGGAGACAGCAGUGGGGAAUAUUGGGCAAUGGGCGAAAGCCUGACCCAGCAACGCCGCGUGAAUGAAGAAGGCUUUCGGGUUGUAAACUUCUUUUCUGAGGGACGAAGAAAGUGACGGUACCUCAGGAAUAAGCCACGGCUAACUACGUGCCAGCAGCCGCGGUAAUACGUAGGUGGCAAGCGUUAUCCGGAAUUACUGGGUGUAAAGGGCGUGUAGGCGGGAAAGCAAGUCAGAUGUGAAACCUCAGGGCUCAACCCUGAGCCUGCAUUUGAAACUGUUUUUCUUGAGUGCUGGAGAGGCAAUCGGAAUUCCGUGUGUAGCGGUGAAAUGCGUAGAUAUACGGAGGAACACCAGUGGCGAAGGCGGAUUGCUGGACAGUAACUGACGCUGAGGCGCGAAAGCGUGGGGAGCAAACAGGAUUAGAUACCCUAGUAGUC
This 443-nucleotide ribosomal RNA is filed under the name uncultured bacterium. RNAcentral's name for it is "partial 16S ribosomal RNA". It matches the Rfam family "Bacterial small subunit ribosomal RNA", at positions 338 to 795 of the family's 1533-position model. The record is from RNAcentral.